GAUGAACGCUGGCGGCGUGCCUAAUACAUGCAAGUCGAGCGAACGGACGAGAAGCUUGCUUCUCUGAUGUUAGCGGCGGACGGGUGAGUAACACGUGGAUAACCUACCUAUAAGACUGGGAUAACUUCGGGAAACCGUAGCUAAUACCGGAUAAUAUUUUGAACCGCAUGGUUCAAAAGUGAAAGACGGUCUUGCUGUCACUUAUAGAUGGAUCCGCGCUGCAUUAGCUAGUUGGUAAGGUAACGGCUUACCAAGGCACCGAUGCAUAGCCGACCUGGGGGGGUGAACGGCCAAACCGGAACUGAGACACGGCCAAAACCCCAAGGGGAGGGAGGAGGAGGAAAUUUUCGCCAAAGGGGGAAAGCCUGAAGGAGCAACGCCGGGGGAGUGAUGAAGGUUUUCGGACUGAAAAACGUUGUUAUUAGGGAAAAAAAAAUGGGAAAGAAAAUGUGAAAAUUUGGACGGUACCUAUGCAGAAAGCCACGGCUAACUACGU
Molecule: ribosomal RNA, 496 nt
Filed under: uncultured bacterium
Lineage: Bacteria
Description: partial 16S ribosomal RNA
Rfam family: Bacterial small subunit ribosomal RNA
Source: RNAcentral